This 332-nucleotide ribosomal RNA is filed under the name uncultured bacterium. RNAcentral's name for it is "bacterial SSU rRNA". It matches the Rfam family "Bacterial small subunit ribosomal RNA", at positions 568 to 898 of the family's 1533-position model. The record is from RNAcentral.
CGCGUAGGCGGUAAUGUAAGUCAGACGUGAAAUCCUUCGGCUCAACUGAAGAACUGCGUCUGAAACUGCAUGACUAGAGUGCAGAAGAGGGAAACGGAAUUCCAGGUGUAGAGGUGAAAUUCGUAGAUAUCUGGAGGAACACCGGUGGCCGAAGGCGGUUUCCUGGUCUGACACUGACGCUGAGGCGCGAAAGCGUGGGGAGCAAACAGGAUUAGAUACCCUGGUAGUCCACGCCGUAAACGGUGGGUACUGGGUGUGGGAGGUGUAAUGCCUUCUGUGCCGAAGCUAACGCGUUAAGUACCCCGCCUGGGGAGUACGGCCGCAAGGUUGAA